UCGGAGGAAGGUGGGGACGACGUCAAGUCAUCAUGCCCCUUAUGUCUUGGGCUGCACACGUGCUACAAUGGCCGGUACAAUGAGCUGCGAUACCGCGAGGUGGAGCGAAUCUCAAAAAGCCGGUCUCAGUUCGGAUUGGGGUCUGCAACUCGACCCCAUGAAGUCGGAGUCGCUAGUAAUCGCAGAUCAGCA
This 192-nucleotide ribosomal RNA is filed under the name Streptomyces sp. Its description in RNAcentral is "partial 16S ribosomal RNA". It matches the Rfam family "Bacterial small subunit ribosomal RNA", at positions 1163 to 1354 of the family's 1533-position model. Lineage: Bacteria; Bacillati; Actinomycetota; Actinomycetes; Kitasatosporales; Streptomycetaceae. The record is from RNAcentral.